This is a long non-coding RNA of Gossypium raimondii (Peruvian cotton), 601 nucleotides long. RefSeq lists it as uncharacterized. The transcript has 3 exons. The record is from RefSeq and is a predicted model, not a curated record. Lineage: Eukaryota; Viridiplantae; Streptophyta; Magnoliopsida; Malvales; Malvaceae.
AAACAGAGAUAAGGGGAGAUGAGGAAAUCGUUCAAGGAUUCUCCAAGGCUCUUGAAGCUAAUAUUCAUUUUGCCAAUACCCUAUAGCAAGGGAUUUCAAUUUUAGAUUGGGAUUGCAUCUACAAAGACUACAAUAUUUUUCUAUUCGCUAAUUGCUCUAUCAGUGCAUCAAUGAUUUCCCUUUGGAUUUUCUCUUUAUUUGGGGUUUCUUUUGUUUUGAAUGAGAACCGGAUCCAAAGGUCAAAUGUGUUCUGGUUGAGGGAAGCUCAUCGUGUGCAUUUUGUGUAGGUACUUGAAGAAAUAUUAAGCCUUCUUCUUUAGUUGGGAAAAGAUACUUGUAAAUAUUAUUUCGUGUUUGUAAUGAAAAAUGUGUAUAGAUAUCAUUGUAGGCUAUGUUUCGUUUUCCUAGUGUUAAGGGAGUUUUGGGGGCUAACCAUUCAUGGGUAUCACAGAAUGGAUAUUAAAUGUGUUGUUGUUAAAAUCCAAAAGGACAAAAACACUCCUCUUGUGCCAAAGGUUUUUGUUUUUACCUUCCAUCUGUAAAUGCAUACUAACUAAACUGCAAACUUGUUAUGCUUAGUUGUUUUUCUCUGUUAUAAAUA